Molecule: ribosomal RNA, 293 nt
Filed under: uncultured eukaryote
Lineage: Eukaryota
Description: partial 18S ribosomal RNA
Rfam family: Eukaryotic small subunit ribosomal RNA
Source: RNAcentral
GGUUGAUCCUGCCAGUAGUCAUAUGCUUGUCUCAAAGAUUAAGCCAUGCAUGUCUAAGUAAAAACAAAUUCAUACUGUGAAACUGCGAAUGGCUCAUUAAAUCAGUUAUAGUUUAUUUGAUGGUAACUUGCUACAUGGAUAACUGUGGUAAUUCUAGAGCUAAUACAUGCUGAAAAGCCCCGACUUCUGGAAGGGGUGUAUUUAUUAGAUAAAAAACCGAUGCCCUCGGGCUUCUGGUGAUUCAUAAUAACUCGUCGAAUCGCAUGGCCUUGUGCCGGCGAUGCUUCAUUCAA